GAUCCUGGCUCAGGAUGAACGCUAGCGAUAGGCUUAACACAUGCAAGUCGAGGGGCAACAUGGUAUCAGCUUGCUGAUACCGAUGGCGACCGGCGCACGGGUGAGUAACGCGUAUGUAAUCUACCUGUAACAGAGGGAUAACCCCGGAGAAAUCCGGACUAAUACCUCAUAGCACAUAUUAUUCGCAUGAAUUUUAUGUUAAAGAGACUCGGUUACAGAUGAACAUGCGUU
Molecule: ribosomal RNA, 231 nt
Filed under: uncultured bacterium
Lineage: Bacteria
Description: partial 16S ribosomal RNA
Rfam family: Bacterial small subunit ribosomal RNA
Source: RNAcentral